RNAcentral lists this small RNA (82 nucleotides) under Salmonella enterica subsp. enterica serovar Oranienburg. RNAcentral describes it as "partial RtT sRNA". It matches the Rfam family "RtT RNA", at positions 50 to 130 of the family's 130-position model. Rfam says of the family: This family represents a bacterial cis-regulatory element known as RtT RNA. RNAcentral also lists the same sequence under 2 other names. The record is from RNAcentral. Lineage: Bacteria; Pseudomonadati; Pseudomonadota; Gammaproteobacteria; Enterobacterales; Enterobacteriaceae.
GAGCGCAGCGAGAAAGCGUUGCCGUAGGCAACGACCCGAAGGGCGAAGCGCGCAGCGCUGAGUAAUCCUUCCCCCGUCAUCC